This 852-nucleotide long non-coding RNA is filed under the name Malus domestica (apple). RNAcentral's name for it is "long non-coding RNA (MDOM_LNC015524)". Lineage: Eukaryota; Viridiplantae; Streptophyta; Magnoliopsida; Rosales; Rosaceae. The record is from RNAcentral.
AUCCUACUAACGACCUUAUGGUUUGGAUUCAAUCAUUGGUUCUAUAAGAACCCCUUCAUUCAAAACACCUUUUUGAAGUAGUUUCUAAAACAAUAUAUCGUCAUAUAUUUUGUUUGUAUACUUUAUACAAACUUUGCUCCAACCUUGAGACCAUUGUAGUACAAUACUAACAAUUCAUUCAUAUGAUUAGUACUUCAUCCAUUAUGAAGUUCCAUUUGUUAAAAUGGCUUAUUUUCACUUUGGUUAACAACCUACGUGAAUGCACGCUUCCAGAGUCCCACUCUGAUGUUUCUUUCUUUAAAGGCAAUAAUACUCUUUCAGUUGCUUUGGUUCUGAUCCUGGGAUUUAGUAAUAUCUUAUAGUGACAACCCCUGUGGUUCUUCACUUUUGGAUAUCUACUUCACAAGUCCAUACAUGUGUCCAUUUUGUGAUUUUGUGACACAUUCACUAUAAGGGUUAUGAAAGUGAUUUCCUAUCACAUAGGAAAAUGCUUUCUUAAAUCUACAACAUUUGAGAUUUAAUUUCCCUAUUUAAUAUCCUUGAGAUAGCCUUGCUAUAUCAAUAAGGGUUAUGGGAGUGAUGUCAUGUUUUGUCAUUUCUCGAGUAACAUCUAUGUUUUAUCAAGUCUAUCAAAUAGACUUUAUUCACAUCUUGUUGCUCAAAUUAUGACAUCACUCCCACUGGCCUUGUUGUAACUUAGCAUUCAUUCAAAAAUAACAAUUAUAUUUUCUUGAUUUGAAUGCAUAUUGCUCCCACUUAACUUAAAUGAAUCAUACACAAAAGAAUUCCUUCUCAAGUAAUUCCAUUUGAAAUGUGUGACUUGUUUCAUUAAGUCUAUUCAUUUAAAUUAUA